CAGAGUUGCAAAACUCCCUAAACCAUUGUGAACAAUACCUUACACCGUUGCUUCGGCGGGCGGUCCCGGGGAUCUCCCGGGCCCGUCGCCCCUCGCGGGCGCCCGCCGGAGGUACCUAACUCUUGACCUUUGUAUGGCCUCUCUGAGUCUCUGUACUUAAUAAGUCA
RNAcentral lists this unclassified non-coding RNA (167 nucleotides) under uncultured Ascomycota. RNAcentral's name for it is "sequence contains ITS1". Lineage: Eukaryota; Fungi; Ascomycota. The record is from RNAcentral.